Molecule: non-coding RNA, 31 nt
Filed under: Homo sapiens (human)
Lineage: Eukaryota; Metazoa; Chordata; Mammalia; Primates; Hominidae
Source: RNAcentral
CCAAGCAUCAGUACUGGAUCACCAGGCUUGU